Molecule: ribosomal RNA, 253 nt
Filed under: uncultured bacterium
Lineage: Bacteria
Description: partial 16S ribosomal RNA
Rfam family: Bacterial small subunit ribosomal RNA
Source: RNAcentral
UACAGAGGGGGCAAGCGUUGUUCGGAAUUACUGGGCGUAAAGGGCGCGUAGGCGGCCUUCUAAGUCGAACGUGAAAUCCCUGGGCUUAACCCAGGAACUGCGUCCGAUACUGGAAGGCUUGAAUCCGGGAGAGGGAUGCGGAAUUCCAGGUGUAGCGGUGAAAUGCGUAGAUAUCUGGAGGAACACCGGUGGCGAAGGCGGCAUCCUGGACCGGUAUUGACGCUGAGGCGCGAAAGCCAGGGGAGCAAACGGG